Molecule: ribosomal RNA, 119 nt
Organism: Bison bison bison
Lineage: Eukaryota; Metazoa; Chordata; Mammalia; Artiodactyla; Bovidae
Source: Ensembl
GUCUACAGCCAUACCACACUGAAUGUACCCAGUCUCAUCUGAUCUUGGAACCUAAGCAAGGUUGGGCCUGGUUAGUACUGUAUUGGAGAAAGAAUCAGGAGAACUAGGUUCUUCUGACU